Molecule: long non-coding RNA, 380 nt
Filed under: Felis catus (domestic cat)
Lineage: Eukaryota; Metazoa; Chordata; Mammalia; Carnivora; Felidae
Description: lncRNA (ENSFCAG00000045403.2)
Source: RNAcentral
CAGAGUAGGAUGUCCGAGCUGUUGCUUAGCACAUACUUGUUAGCUCGCACUGUUUGAGGCUCCCCACAAUAUUCGGGGGGGACAGCGAUCAUUUGGUAUGAGAAAAGGAUGCCGGAAGAAUACCCCGUCAGCCUGUGAUACCCGGGCGUCACUCUACAGUCAGAUCUCAAUUCAUCCAGAAGUUUCUUCAUCCACAGGCAGGGAUCAGCACCUUCUGAGUAUGUGAGGACGCCAUUUGCAGAUCCAAAGUUCUCCUGGACACUCUCUCGCCUCAGGACUCUGAAUAUAAAGACAGAUGCCAUAUGUUUUCAUCCUAUGUGGAUCCUGAGAAACUUAACAGAAGAACCAUGGGGGAGGGGAAAGAAAAAAAGAAGGUUAGA